Long non-coding RNA from Zingiber officinale, 1020 nucleotides. RefSeq lists it as uncharacterized. The record is from RefSeq and is a predicted model, not a curated record. The transcript has 3 exons. NCBI's taxonomy places the organism in Eukaryota, Viridiplantae, Streptophyta, Magnoliopsida, Zingiberales, Zingiberaceae.
AUUUUGCCGUUGUGUUUUCUCCGCCUUCUCGAACCCUAAAGCCUUUUUCUUUCCCUCUCCCAUAUGAUCUCUUCACACUGCCGAAACCUACAUCUCCAUCCAAUCCCUCUCCAAUGAAACCUUCUCCAUGAACCUCUCCUCCUAACUCCUCUCUGUCUAACCCCUCUAUGUCGAAUCCCUCUACCGCUGAAUAUCUCCGUCGAUCCUGCUAAACAUCUCUGCCAAACCACCCAUCUUCAUUCCCUCUUCGGAUGAAUCCACAAUUACACUAAUAUACCUCAAGCAUGGCUGGAAAAGGUCUAUCUUUAUAUUUGAUAUGGUUCCUGCAGCUGUGGUCCUCGAGGUUCUCUCCAAAUCGAAGCACCAAAGUUGUGCCAGGGGCUCCGAUUAUGAUAAUCUUACUGCGAGAAGAAGAUUGUCCUUAACUUGGCAGUUCCUAGUGGAUCGAUAGUGAAGCCCCAUCUGUUCUUUUUGCUUUCCUCGUCAUAAUUUCUUCGUCACAUUUCUCGCGAUGAACCCUAAUUUGUGGUUGUGGGUUGGGACACUCUUCGUCUUGUUUCAGGUACUUGUACUAGGUGGCCAUGGUUUCAUUGGUUUACAUGUUUGCAAAGAGGCUUUGGAUCAAGGGUUAUCAGUUUCUAGUCUCAGCAGGUCUGGAAGAUCAUCAAUACGUGAACAAUGGGUUGAUAAAGUUGAGUGGUGCCAAGGUUGAAAAUUAAGAGAAUGCUCUUUCCCUGUGAAGGAAAAACAUAUAGUUCAGCUUUUUGUGGCUAAUCCUUCUAUUUGGCAGGAAGCCUUCUUGAAAUUCCGGUGACUUUUGUGGUGGUCCAAAAAUGUAAUCACACUAGACUGUUUGCUAACAAUCAUGGUGACCACCGAUUUGUUGAUAAGAGUGGAAACACCACCGAUUUGUUGAUAAGAGUGGAAACAUAUUGCUUGGUUAGUUUAGUUGAUAGCAUGGAUACAUCAUUUUCAAGACAAUUCUAUUUUAUAUAUUUUUUUCAAACCUUGUUUUCUCAA